RNAcentral lists this unclassified non-coding RNA (204 nucleotides) under uncultured Symmetrospora. RNAcentral describes it as "sequence contains ITS2". Lineage: Eukaryota; Fungi; Basidiomycota; Cystobasidiomycetes. The record is from RNAcentral.
AACUCUCAACCCCCUCAUUUUGUAAUGAAGUGUAGCGCGGGCUUGGUUUAUGGUUGCUGUCGGCGUAAAUGCCGGCUCAACUGAAAUUGACGAGCGACCCAGUUUGAAUACCAGACGGCUUGACUCGGCGUAAUAACUAUUACCGCUGAGGACGUCUACCUUUCAAAUCGUUAGUGGUGCUUCUAAUGCAUUUAUAAUUUAAGC